CAUCUAUUAAAUUCUCAUAGUCCUCUCAACCGCCUCUUCAAAAAAGUCUCUUUCCUUCACCCUUUAUUUUUGUUUUGUUUAGUUUCCACACAUCUUAUGAAGAGAAACAAAACAUAGUAAACCAAACAACAAAUGAUUCGAUUUCGACUUCUUUGCCUCUUUGUUGUUCUCUUCACUCUUGUUUGUGUUUUCUCCAAAGCCCCAAGCACUCAUGCUGCUGGAAGACGAAGCUUUUUCUCAGGACCUUCUAGAAGAGAGAGAGGGUUCUCACACUCUUAUGCCACACGUGUAAUCGGCUCUGGACAAUUCAAGCCGGAGAAGAGAAAGAUUCCGACGGGGUCAAACCCUUUGCAUAACAAGCGAUAAUGAAGGGUUUAUUUAUAUGCCGGC
Molecule: long non-coding RNA, 390 nt
Filed under: Brassica napus (rape)
Lineage: Eukaryota; Viridiplantae; Streptophyta; Magnoliopsida; Brassicales; Brassicaceae
Description: long non-coding RNA (BNAP_LNC007763)
Source: RNAcentral